ACCUCGCGUUAGCGAUCAAGUUAGUCUGAAUACCAAAACGUUCACGCUCGUUUUCUUUUCUGUGGAGAUCUGCAGUAUCGAGUGCACACAGAUCUGUGCCGCAAUGUGACUUUAUGAGUGAACUGAUUGUUAAGUGGAUUAGAAAAUUAGACCGCAUCCAUAUGAAUGUUUCAACUUCGUUGGAGUUUCAUUCAACAUAUAGCUAUUCCUGUUUCUAUAAUUUCAUUUCAUUGAUUAUAUAAAAUUUAUAUAUAAAAUAUAGACAAGACUUUACUAAAAAAUUAUAUUUUGUGUGUUCGGCUUGUAUAAGAAACUUCGUGUAAUUGUAUUCGAUGAGUUCGAGAGCAGUGAAGUUGGAAAGAACAAAAGAUGCCUGGCACUCUAACGUAUCCGAUUUAUGCUGGCGUUGAUUCAUUCCCGUCCAGAAGACGUGCGAAUACAUGGACCGCACAGCAUCAUUCCGCAUCACGUGUAGCAGAAGUCAAUGCGCAACUUAGUCGAUUGUCUUUAACUGAAUCAACGAGAGACGAAACGAGCAAGUUGAGGUUAAAAGUAAUCGCUGGACACCAUUUAGCGAAGAAAGACAUUUUUGGUGCUAGCGAUCCCUAUGUACGUGUGGACUUGAAUACAAUAAAUGGCGAUCAGACAGUGGAUUCUGCACUUACAAGAACUAAGAAGAAGACAUUAAAUCCUGUCUGGGAGGAGGAAUUUAUAUUUAGGGUUAAACCAGUAGAACACAAAUUGGUCUUACAAGUUUUUGAUGAAAAUAGAUUGACAAGGGAUGAUUUUCUUGGUAUGGUUGAGUUAACAUUGAUUAAUUUACCAAAGGAACAAGAAGGUCGUGCUAUUCCUGCCAGGAAUUAUGUACUUCGUCCACGUAGUAAUCAUUCCAGUCAGCGAUCACGAGUUAAGGGAACUUUGGAACUGUAUCAUGCAUACAUUUCCGACUCAUCUAGUAAUGAAAAUGACAAUGGAGACGUAUCUGAUUCAGGCGGAUGGGAAUUAGUACAGCCAGAAAAUAACAGUCCAGUAGAGCAAAGUGCUGAUAUUACAAUGGUGAGUAGGCCAUUACCACCAGGAUGGGAAGAACGACAGGACGCAAAUGGUCGUACAUACUAUGUUAAUCAUAUAGCGCGUUUCACACAAUGGGAACGACCAGAACCAGACACAAUAGCGACAAGUGGAGUUGUUGAACAACGUAAUUUGGAUACAGCAGCUACUGAAUUUCAACGACGAUUUCACAUUAGUGCUGAUGAUGAAGGUAGACAUAGGAAUUCUGUAGUAAAUCAGGAUGGUGAAGUUCUACGCGAGGACGAUGAAGAUUCGGAAGCAAGAGAUUGUGAGGGUGGGGAUCAUAGGGGAGGGGGUAUUGGGGAUACUUCUUCAGACUCUGGACGUUCUGUCGAUCAACGUGGCUACCUUAGCGAAUCUGAAGAACAGACUGAUGAUAAUAUCGACAGUCCAGCUGGUUCGAGACGUUCAUCAGAGCAUAUUGAGAGUCCCAAACCUACCCUUCCUGUGUCGAAUGAUGAAGGAUUGCCUCCUGGUUGGGGCAUGCAAGUAGCACCUAAUGGUAGAAUAUUUUUUAUUGAUCAUAAUGAGAGGGCAACAACCUGGAUUGAUCCCCGAACUGGAAGACCAAGUUCUAUACCUAAUCAUAUUGCACCAUCAACGACAUCAAGAGGUGAUUUAGAUCAAUUAGGACCGCUCCCAGAAGGAUGGGAAGAAAGAGUACACACCGAUGGACGAAUCUUUUUUAUAGAUCAUAAUACAAGAACAACACAAUGGGAAGAUCCACGUAUGUCGAACCCUCAAAUUGCUGGCCCGGCUGUACCAUAUUCAAGAGAUUACAAGCGAAAAUAUGAAUAUUUGAAGUCACAACUGAGAAAGCCUAAUAAUGUUCCUAAUAAGUUUGAAAUAAAGGUUGGACGGAACAAUAUUUUGGAAGAUUCGUACCGUAUUAUAAGCUCUGUUAACAGAGUCGAUAUUCUAAAAACGAAAUUAUGGGUAGAAUUCGAAGGAGAGGUAGGCUUAGAUUAUGGUGGCCUUGCAAGGGAAUGGUUCUUCUUAUUGUCUAAAGAAAUGUUUAAUCCGUAUUAUGGACUUUUUGAGUAUUCUGCAACUGAUAAUUAUACACUGCAAAUAAAUCCUUGUUCUGGUGUAUGUAAUGAGGAACAUUUGAAUUACUUUAAAUUUAUUGGACGUAUAGCAGGAAUGGCUGUUUAUCACGGCAAACUUUUAGAUGCUUUCUUUAUUCGACCAUUUUACAAAAUGAUGUUGGGUAAACCAAUUGAUCUGAAGGAUAUGGAGAGCGUCGAUUCUGAAUAUUACAACUCUCUUUUAUGGAUUAAAGAAAAUGAUCCCAGUGAAUUAGAACUCACUUUCAGCCUUGACGAAGAAAACUUUGGUCAUACUUCUCAAAGAGACUUAAAGCCAGAUGGUGCUAAUAUUCCUUUGACCGAUGAAAAUAAGGACGAGUAUAUAAGUUUAGUUAUACAAUGGCGAUUUGUAUCUCGCGUACAGGAACAAAUGAAUGCCUUUUUGGAAGGUUUCAAUGCUCUUAUACCACCGACAUUGGUAAAAAUAUUCGAUGAACAUGAACUGGAAUUGUUAAUGUGUGGUAUACAGCAUAUUGAUGUAAAAGACUGGAAACAAAAUACUUUAUAUAAAGGAGACUAUCACGCAAAUCACAUCGUUGUGCAAUGGUUCUGGAGAGUUGUUUUGUCAUUCAGUAAUGAAAUGCGUUCUAGAUUAUUACAGUUUGUAACUGGCACAUCACGUGUUCCAAUGAAUGGAUUCAAAGAACUUUAUGGCAGUAAUGGACCGCAAUUAUUUACAAUUGAGAGGUGGGGCACACCAGAGAAUUAUCCAAGAGCUCAUACUUGUUUUAAUCGUAUCGACCUUCCUCCAUAUAAAAGUUAUCAACAACUCAGGGAUAAGCUAGUUAAAGCAAUUGAAGGUUCUCAAGGCUUUGCCGGAGUCGACUAGCACGAAAUACCUUUGUUCAUGAUGAUAUCUGUAAUAUAAUGUAUAUAUUACAUAUACCUACAUAAUAGAGUCGGACCUUAAUUAAUUCACUUUUAAAAACAUGCCAUAUUUUUACUAUUGCAACUAUGGGAUUUCCUGAGAGAAGUGAUUUGGCUGCUAUAACAAUGUGAUAUUGAUUUAUUAAUUGAUUCUCUUCUUUGUUAAUAAUGUUAGAAUAUUGUUACAAAAUGCAAUUUAUAUAAAUGUCUAUAUAUGAUUAACAAAUUGUUUUAAAAUGACAUUGUAAUCAUGUAAAAAUGAGAUUCACUGUCAUUCUAUGACUUAAAAAUUCUUUGCACGUAGAUAUCCCUUCUUUUUCCACUUUAAAAUAAAAAUUAAUAUAAUUGAUAUAAUAUUCUUUGUUAAUAAAUUUAAUUUUUGAAAUUUGCACUUAUAUAAAAUUACAUUUUGUCAAAAAGAUUACUUAAUAUUCUUUUUUUCAUUAAAAGAUCUUUCCUAAUUUUAUAUAACGCAUAUUAGAGAUAAUCAAAAACGUAAUUGUUGUUUUAUGAAAAAGUACUUUGCUUUUUUUAAUAAAUCAAACUUUUCUAAUGUUAUAAAUAUAAUGAAUUAUGUACGUUAUAAUUUUAAUUAUAUUUUUAUGGCACACCAAAAUAUACUUCUCUUUUUCAACUUUAA
RNAcentral lists this unclassified non-coding RNA (3666 nucleotides) under Monomorium pharaonis (pharaoh ant). Its description in RNAcentral is "e3 ubiquitin-protein ligase Nedd-4, transcript variant X2". Lineage: Eukaryota; Metazoa; Arthropoda; Insecta; Hymenoptera; Formicidae. The record is from RNAcentral.